Long non-coding RNA from Sitodiplosis mosellana (orange wheat blossom midge), 1937 nucleotides. RefSeq lists it as uncharacterized. The transcript is spliced from 3 exons. Lineage: Eukaryota; Metazoa; Arthropoda; Insecta; Diptera; Cecidomyiidae. The record is from RefSeq and is a predicted model, not a curated record.
AGAAAUUUCUCUACUAUCAUUGUGCAACAGGUUAAAACUCUGUUUCGUUGGCAAAUUAAAAUGAAUCUACUACACGGUUUGUUUUCGGUGCUAUUUAUCGUUGAAUUUUCGGAACUUCAAGGAAAACAUGGCUUUUUCUCGCAAGCUCUUCUUAAGGGCGAAGUGAUUGAAAACAUGUCACAGGCAAAGUUUGUAGCUGGAAUCCAUAUCCCCGCAAGUAAGUCUGCUUUAGAAUCAUUUUCAUUUUCAUUUUUGUGUGUGUGAAUUUUUGUCCGAAAAAUUCAAAUAUUCUAUCAAUUUUGCUAGGGGCUGACCACGCUUCAAAAAUAGAAAUGAAAAUAAUGCUAGAUUUUAUAAUUUUUUUCAAACAAUAUAUUAUUUACAACUGUGAAAUUUUUCGAACUUUCUCCAGAAACGAUUCACUGUAACCGAUAACUUUCAAUUGUGCGUUGUUAUUAAAACGAAUAUGGUCACGGUCGCGGAGGUGUAACGUUACUGACAUACAAAUGAGCUCAUAACAUGGCCACUAUCAGAGAUAUUUCAGAAGAGUGAAGACAAAAAAUGUAGAUCGAGUAUGGGGCAACAAUAAUCGAAUCAUAAAAUGGAAUUUUUUUUGGUUUUUGUAGAGAUAUAAUCGUGUGUAAAAAACCUUGAAAAUUCGCAAAUUUUCAUACAUUUUUUUAACACCUUCUUAUUCUUUUGCACAUAUUUAGCAUAACAAGUACACAGACUGUAGAGUUCCUUGUAUUAAAUGAAUUUUAGUAUAAUUAGCUAGAAUUUAUGCCUUUACUCUUUCUUGUUAUCUAUUAUGAUAGCGGAGUUAUGAGCAUGUGAAAAACGUCAGUAACGUUACCGUGCGCCGCGACCGUGACCAUAUGCAUUUCUGUCGGUUUACUGUCAGAAAAUUCAUCACAUUUUUGACCACCACAAAAGUAUUGUUCAUAGUAGAUUAUGGAUUUAGUCAAAUAUUUGAGUUAACAUACAAAUGGUAUUAAAAUUGAAUGAUGAAAACGAAUUUUGUAGAUGAAAAAUUCGCGGUUUCCCCCUAGCUAUUUUGUGUGUGUGUUCAUUUUUUCUUUUAAUAUUAUUGCUUGUACUGAGAAUGAAACGAUUUGAUUACAUGAAUACAAAGACCAUCCAAAUGAUCCCAAUAGCAACAUGAUGAGUAAGUGUACUGCAUUUAUUCUGUCGAAAACGGAAAUUAUCACGAAUGCCCAUUGUGUGGAUGACGCUCCAUAUGUUUAUGUGGUAGCUGGUACGAAAGUUGUAUCAGGUGCAAACCAGAAAAUUAAAAUCAAAGUCGAAAAAGAGAACAUUGCAUGUCACCCUCAUUAUAGUCGUUUAAUUGUUGGUGGAUUUGAUAUUGCCAAAAUUACACUGAAAACGCCGUUACUAUCGAGAAAUGCGACAAAACUUAAAGUCACUAAAGACCAGAUAGAAAUUCAUGAGGAAUACGCAUUUUCGGGAUUGACAUUUGACAUUGCCAAGAUUACACUUAAAGAACCGUUGGAGUUCAACGAUAACGUCGGCAGCAUCGAUUUGGUGGACAAAGAUUACAAAAUGAAUGACCCGUCCGAAGUGGUCACUGUCUACGGUAAUGUGGUAUUGGAUGGAACAAUGAGAACGAGGCGUUAUGAUACGAAAUAUUUGAAUGGCGCCAUUUGCAAACCGAAAGUGCACCCCGUAUUUGAUGUAAAUCAUUUGAUGUGUUACACUUUAGAUGAAAGCAUGGGAACUCCUUCUACGUUUGGAGGUCCAAUGAUUUCGAAAAAGAAUAACAAACUCGUGGGCAUGACCAUAAUUCGUUAUCCUGAUCAGCCAGUUAUUUUUCAACCGAUUGCACCGUUGCUUGAUUGGAUCCGGAAGCUAAAUGUAAGACGUAAUCAGAGAAGAAGAAUAUAGGCUUGAAAAAAUGGGUUUUAGGCGCCUGAAAAAGC